GACGAACGCUGGCGGCGUGCUUAACACAUGCAAGUCGAACGGAAAGGCCCUGCUUUUGUGGGGUGCUCGAGUGGCGAAAGGGUGAGUAACACGUGAGUAACCUGCCCUUGACUUUGGGAUAACUUCAGGAAACUGGGGCUAAUAUCGGAUAGGAGCUCCUGCUGCAUGGUGGGGGUUGGAAAGUUUCGGCGGUUGGGGAUGGACUCGCGGCUUAUCCGCUUGUCGGUGGGGUAGUGGCUUACCAAGGCUUUGACGGGUAGCCGGCCUGAGAGGGUGACCGGCCACAUUGGGACUGAGAUACGGCCCAGACUCCUACGGGAGGCAGCAGUGGGGAAUAUUGCACAAUGGGCGGAAGCCUGAUGCAGCAACGCGGCGUGCGGGAUGACGGCCUUCGGGUUGUAAACCGCUUUCGCCUGUGACGAAGCGUGAGUGAGGGUAAUGGGUAAAGAAGCACCGGCUAACUACGUG
This 468-nucleotide ribosomal RNA is filed under the name uncultured bacterium. RNAcentral's name for it is "partial 16S ribosomal RNA". It matches the Rfam family "Bacterial small subunit ribosomal RNA", at positions 28 to 507 of the family's 1533-position model. The record is from RNAcentral.